Molecule: ribosomal RNA, 253 nt
Filed under: uncultured Eubacteriales bacterium
Lineage: Bacteria; Bacillati; Bacillota; Clostridia; Eubacteriales
Description: uncultured Clostridiales bacterium partial 16S ribosomal RNA
Rfam family: Bacterial small subunit ribosomal RNA
Source: RNAcentral
UACGGAGGAUCCGAGCGUUAUCCGGAUUUACUGGGUGUAAAGGGAGCGUAGGUGGCAAGGCAAGUCAGAUGUGAAAACCCGGGGCCCAACCCCGGGAGUGCAUUUGAAACUGUCUGGCUAGAGUGCAGGAGAGGUAAGCGGAAUUCCUAGUGUAGCGGUGAAAUGCGUAGAUAUAUGGAAGAACACCAGUGGCGAAGGCGGCUCUCUGGUCUGUAACUGACGCUGAGGCUCGAAAGCAUGGGUAGCGAACAGG